This 565-nucleotide long non-coding RNA is filed under the name Pan troglodytes (chimpanzee). RNAcentral describes it as "lincRNA". The record is from RNAcentral. Lineage: Eukaryota; Metazoa; Chordata; Mammalia; Primates; Hominidae.
GCAGAUGGGCGGUUUGGAGGCGCUGCUGUCCCUGGGAAAUGGGAGCCUCCAUCCUGUUCUCUCUGCUGCUUGGCUGGGCUGGGCUGGGCAGGGCAGGAAAGCCAGGGUCCCCACCCCUCCUGGAGCAGAGCACUCCGCGCUGGCUGUUCCGGGGGCCCGGGAGGGCAGAGCUGUCAGAAGGUCUGUCUGGCAUCAUUAGGGGAGCUGUCUGUCUCUCUAUCCCUGGCUGGCGUGGCCCGGCAGGAGGCGAGGCUGAUAUUUUCAGGAGACCUGGUGAUUUGACCUGACACCUGUCAGUCAGUCUCUGGUAUGUCAUUAUCAGCAGUGUGAAAAUGCUGAUAAUGCAUUUUCCACCCUGUCUGGAUCUGGACAAGAGCCCACCACCCCGUUGGCAGUAGUCAGGCAGCUCUGCUCCUAAGAACCUGCAGCUUUUGGAAGAAAGGCACCCUGUGGUUUCAGAAGCCCAAGAGUCCCUGCAGCUCAGCACCCCCAGCCUGGUGCUUGGCAGAUGAUUGCCUCCUCACUUAGGAGAGGGAGCAGGUGAGCAUGUAUGAAGGGCCGCUCU